Molecule: ribosomal RNA, 509 nt
Filed under: uncultured bacterium
Lineage: Bacteria
Description: bacterial SSU rRNA
Rfam family: Bacterial small subunit ribosomal RNA
Source: RNAcentral
CGAUUCUGGCUCAGAUUGAACGCUGGCGGCAUGCCUUACACAUGCAAGUCGAACGGUAACAGGUCUUCGGAUGCUGACGAGUGGCGAACGGGUGAGUAAUACAUCGGAACGUGCCCGAGAGUGGGGGAUAACGAAGCGAAAGCUUUGCUAAUACCGCAUACGAUCUCAGGAUGAAAGCAGGGGACCGCAAGGCCUUGCGCUCACGGAGCGGCCGAUGGCAGAUUAGGUAGUUGGUGGGAUAAAAGCUUACCAAGCCGACGAUCUGUAGCUGGUCUGAGAGGACGACCAGCCACACUGGGACUGAGACACGGCCCAGACUCCUACGGGAGGCAGCAGUGGGGAAUCUUCCGCAAUGGGCGAAAGCCUGACGGAGCAACGCCGCGUGAGUGAAAGAAGGGUUUCGGCUCGUAAAGCUCUGUUGACGGGGACGAACGUGCGAGAUGCGAAUAGUUUCUUGCAAUGACGGUACCCGUCGAGGAAGCCACGGCUAACUACGUGCCAGCCGCAGC